AUGGUCCAGAUGUCGCUGACAAAGGAGGAGUACAGCUGGUUUUCCGACUUCCUCAAAUUCAAGCACUGUCUCUUAGGGGGAAAGAAGGCCCAGCACUUCUUUUUCAAUUCAACAAACACUCAGAUGAAGAACCUGCCUGCCUACCUGAGGGAGGUGUGGAAGGAGAUGGGUCUGCCCGAAUGUCCUUCAUUCACUGACCUGAGGACCUCCAUUGUCACUCAUGUAAAAAACAUGCUCCCAAAGGUUGACAGGGAAAGGGUGGCCAACUUCAUGUGCCACAACAUCCAGACGGCAGACAAAUAUUAUGCCAUGAAUUUAAAUCCAACCCAAGCAAAUGAAACCAGGGCACUCUUUGAGGCUGCACUGAAGGGGGAAGAUAACACAGUCGCCGCAGAGAACCAGCCCUCCACCUCAGGAGAAAGAAAGCAGAAGGUGAGAGAGGAUGCCUCCCUCUCCGACGGGAGCACCACCCCUGAAGAGACCAAGGUGAUGUACCAGGAGUCUGGCACGUCCGCCGGUGACUCGGAAGAGGAGGAAGAGGAUGAAGAUGAGGAACAGAUGGCCAGACAACUUCCAGAGACACCUUCCAAGGUGACCAAUCCUCAGGUGGAGAUGGAACUUACCCCAAAGAGGAAGCGGAGCAUCUGCACACGCCGCAUGGAGGUCGCCAUCAGCCCCAUGCUAGUCUCACCCCUCAAAGUGAGGCUCAAGUCGCCCCCCCACCAGUCCCUCAUUGUCACAUUAAAAGGGAUGCAACAACUAAACUCAAAUAAAGUCAGACUAAAAAAUGCCAUUGCCUCAAGGAGGUUAAAGCUGCAGGAGAAGGUGCAAAAGAGAGGAGGGGACCCCUGAUGCAGCUCGAAGGAAGGGGAGCCGACCAACAACAAGACUUCCUCUUCCAAAUAGUCAUGUAGAUUGUUUUAGACUCUCACAUUUAUACUGUUCUGAUUUUGUUUGGUUUGAUUUUCAAUUUUGGUGUGCUUGUUUACAUUUUAGAAGUGUAAAAUGUGUGUAAUUUAGUCUAACUGUCUGUUCAAUUUUCUAUUUUGGUGUGAUUCUUUAUAAUGUAAAGGUUUGUUCUGUUUUAUUAAAUAACUAGUUUAGUAAUUAUUUGUGUUGUGCUUUCUUUAAGGUUAUAUUCUAACUGUCUGUUCAAUUUUCUAUUUUGGUGUGAUUCUUUAUAAUGUAAAGGUUUGUUCUGUUUUAUUAAAUAACUAGUUGAGUAAUUAUUUGUGUUGUGCUUUCUUUAAGGUUUAUAUUUAGUUUGUCACUUAAUUUGUAAGUGUUAAACAUUCACUGUCUUGUGUUGUUGUCUGUGAAGGUAGGAACAAAUAUUUAGGCAUUAUUGGCAUGGGAAUCAUAUGUUUACAUUGGCAAAGCAAAUUAAGUAGAUAAUAAACAAAAGUGAAAUAAACAAUAAAGUCCUGCUGUAGACUGUACUACUGCUGUUCAGGAAGCACAAUUUGAACUAGAAACUUACACAGACAGGCUGAAAUAAACACUAAAAAAUAACAAAUGGCAUCACCGUAAUAUCCCGCUUGACCGUGGCUCGCUCGGUCUGAGCGCAGCGACCAUGAGAAAAGUAAGCCCAAAAUGAAGCCUGCCCCACAACGUCAUUUGCUUUUGGGUGACAGUGAGAGAACCGUUAGGUUUAGAAGGACAAUUCAACCACAGGAAUGUUCCUAACGUCCUUCCGAUCCAUGCAAGCCUUACCUUGACCGUGUGGCAUCAACCCUUAAAAAUAAAACAGGGUUUUUUGAUCUCACAGAUUACAAUGACAUCUCUCCCCAUAGGAAUACAUUGACAGCUCCCCUAAAUUCAACCUGGAGCCUAUGUGGGUUAAUAAUGCCUUAUGAACCUGUCUUCAAUGCCAAUCCAUCAGGCCACUAUGAGGUCUACCUGUGUCGAUUCUAAGCUUCCUGGAGCAACCGGAAGUGGUUAAAUUCACCCAAAAUGUAUUUUGAUGUACAUAACCUGCAAAUGUGAAAAUGACUGCAUUCAACCCUGGGUAGAUCAGUCAAUUCUUAACAUAAAGACUUUAGGAUUCUCAGGAUUCUGUAAGAGAAUACCCAAAGCAAGAUAUUUGUUUACCUAUAGCUUCCUGUGCCAACCGGAAGUGCCUUUAAUUGGUGUCUCAGGGGCUUCUCCUUAGGAGGGAUGGGGACACCACCACGGGACAGACCCCACACUCAUCGCUAGAGAUCGAACUUCAGACUCCCUUCAAAACCACUGAACCCCUCAACACACCGAAAGAGAUUACGGUGCACACCCUUAGAGGGAGCCGGAACAGGAUAACUCCCUCCACCAUCACAGAGACACAGAGGAGGAGGAACUAUCCAACACCCAGGGAGAGAGAACAAGUGACGUCAGUCGAACACAGUCAGAAAGAGGAGGUGGAAGAGGCGUUAGAUAGAGGAGGAUAUUACCCCAGAGGCCAUUCCUCCUGUUCAUGUGAGCAAGAAAGAGCAGAAGGCUUCUGAUCAGCCAAAUGGCAGGCAGAGGGAGAGGUCAUAGUGAUUCACACCCACAGAGAGAAAGACAACCCACACAACCUCUUGGUUGAGAUGAACCACACAGGUAGAGGCAGAGGGCCUUCAGGGCUAGCCAGUCAGCCUGCCUGCUCUGAUCCUCAAGUCAAUUGUAUAUAAAUUCAUGUUCAUUAAAGAUUUUUAUUCAAGAAUUGACAAGUCCCAUUUCGUUAAAGGGGUCACCCUUUUCCUGCUACAAACACAACUUGCAUAUCAUCACAGACUAGGCCAAAACGUUAAUCUUUUAACCUUGCCUGAAUAAAACAAUGCAUUUUUUAUAGUGAGCAAGAGUUGCUCCUUUUCC
This is a long non-coding RNA of Oncorhynchus mykiss (rainbow trout), 2832 nucleotides long. The record is from Ensembl. NCBI's taxonomy places the organism in Eukaryota, Metazoa, Chordata, Actinopteri, Salmoniformes, Salmonidae.